RNA transcript from Vigna unguiculata (cowpea), 1759 nucleotides. It is a transcript of the gene named F-box/kelch-repeat protein At3g23880-like, with no coding region annotated. NCBI's taxonomy places the organism in Eukaryota, Viridiplantae, Streptophyta, Magnoliopsida, Fabales, Fabaceae. The record is from RefSeq and is a predicted model, not a curated record.
AACCUAGGUGGAAGCGCGUAGAGGUAAAGUGUAACUGGGAGUUCUUCAUAUCAUAGGGCUGGGAACCUAUAUAUUUGUCUCUAAUCUUACACAAUUCCUCACUUCACUCCAAUUUGUCCCAUCCCAAAGGACAAACGCAUUUCAAUCUUUUCCUCCAUUCUUCAAUUUAUGGCUUCUCCAAAGAGAGAAACAGAUGGCAAUGACGGUGUCUCUGACGGUGCCGGUGCUGAAGUUGCUCAUGGCGGUGCCGCUACUGGGAUUGCUGCUACCUCUGCUUCUUCAACUAUGCCCGACGAUUUGAUGAUAGAAAUACUGUCGCGGGUUCCGGUGAAGGCUCUCAUGCGGUUUAGGUGCGUUUCUAAGUAUUGGAAUUCCUUCGUUUUCGAUCCCAAUCUAGUGAAACUGCACCUUCAAAGAUCCCCAAGAGACAAACCAAUCCUCUACACGCUAUCCGACUAUGGCGAGUACGACGACGAUGCACAUUACCUGCACUGCUCCUCUACACAAAGCUUGCUCGAGAAUCCAAACUCCGUUGUUGGCAUCGAUGAUGACGGUGUUCCAGUCUUCGCCAACUACGACAUCGUUGGAGUCUGCAACGGAUUGGUGUGUCUGAGUAGAAUCCAUACUAAUCUUGACGAAAUCUGGGUCCGAUUUUGGAACCCUGCCACCAGACUCAGUUCGGAGGAAUCACCAUCUUGUUACAUAGAAUGUGGGUGCGCCAACAUGGCGUUUGGCCACGAUGCUUCAACCGACACUUAUAAGGUGGUGGCGGCAGUGUUGAGUGACGCUAAAACUCACAAAAUCGAACUUAUAGUUCACAAUCUUGGAGAUGAUUGUUGGAGGGAGAUUCGAACUACCGAUGCUGAUUUUCCUUCGGAGUUUCGUCAAACCAAAGGAGUGUUUCUGAAUGGCACCCUUAACUGGGUGACAGUACUUGGCACUGGGAAUUCCAGAUCGUUGGUGGAUUUUUGCUUUGACUUAGCCAGUGAGACGUACACAUGCUUUCAACUGCCUAAUGAUGUGGGAGAAGGUUUCUCAGAACUUGGAGCUUUUGGGGGUUGUCUCUGUCUCUCCCACAUUUACCAUAGAGAAUCUUUUGCUUUCUGGCAAAUGAAGGAGUUUGGAGUUUAUCAAUCUUGGACUAUGUUGAUGAACAUCAGUUACAACUAUUUUGAGUUUCCCCGGUACCUCAUUCCGCGUCCCUUGUGCUUGUCUGAAGACGGCAAUAUCCUGAUCCUGGUAUGCCAUGCGGAAUACCAACUUGUUUGGUGUAAUCGGAGACAUUGCCAGAUAGAGCAUUUUGAAAUUCCCCACAAAUGGGUUUCCCUCAAGUCCACCGAUUACGUUCAGAGCUUGGUGUUGCCUUAUCCUACUACCUGACCUCUGUCCAAUCAAAUCAUGUUUUGUUGUUCUUGGUUAAUAUCUCAUCCAGGAAAUAACAGGACUCCUCUUUAUAGACAUAAGGACGCAUCGUGGACUACCAUCGUGGACUACCAUCGUGGACUACGGUAGUAGGAAGAAAGAAGAGAAGAGGAUUAUUAGAAGAAUAAUUAUAAUUUGUUUUAGUACCUGUUCUGUAAAAGUCGUUUAUUAUGACUCUCAUGAUGAACCUUUCUUUAAAGUUCUUCAAUAAAAUACAUUAUAAGAAACUUGUUUAAUAGUAUUUAUAAGUGAUUAGAUGCAGCUUUUGCUGCACCAUCCAGGUAUAUUAUUAGCAUUGUUGUUUGUUGCACUAUUUUCUCUCUUAAUAGUAUAUUUA